This 400-nucleotide long non-coding RNA is filed under the name Aplysia californica (California sea hare). RNAcentral describes it as "uncharacterized LOC101853291, transcript variant X1". Lineage: Eukaryota; Metazoa; Mollusca; Gastropoda; Aplysiida; Aplysiidae. The record is from RNAcentral.
CACAUAAUCGUCUAAUCGCAACAUUGGCGUCCACAGAUCUCACUCCUCCCGUCAUCAUGAAAUACGCUAUCGCAUUCCUUUGCCUCGUCCUUGCCGCGUCGGCCCUUGCUGAGGAAAAAAGAUUCAUCAUUGACGACCUCGAGAAGGAGGCUGCUAAGAUCUUGCAAUGUGAGGCUACCCUUAACCAGGCAGUAUGUGAGGACUGUUGUGCAUCCACCCAAUGGUACCACCCAUCCGAGGGCACAGCCUGUACUAAAGCCUGUGGCAUUUUGCCCUGAACACCGUGAAGCUUGUUAAGCUGAGAGAGCAGACAUCCUGAUACAAGCUGUAAGAUCAAUGAACGUGUAUUCAUGUCUUGCCACGAAUAAACGUAACGGGAGGGGAAAAAGUCCGACCUACA